RNAcentral lists this ribosomal RNA (390 nucleotides) under uncultured bacterium. Its description in RNAcentral is "bacterial SSU rRNA". It matches the Rfam family "Bacterial small subunit ribosomal RNA", at positions 28 to 424 of the family's 1533-position model. The record is from RNAcentral.
GACGAACGCUGGCGGCGUGCUUAACACAUGCAAGUCGAGCGGUAAGGCCCUUUCGGGGGUACACGAGCGGCGAACGGGUGAGUAACACGUGGGUGACCUGCCCUCAGCUCUGGGAUAAGCCUGGGAAACUGGGUCUAAUACUGGAUAUGACUCCACGGUGCAUGUCGUGGGGUGGAAAGCCUUGUGCGGCUGAGGAUGGGCCCGCGGCCUAUCAGCUUGUUGGUGGGGGAUGGCCUACCAAGGCGACGACGGUAGCCGGCCUGAGAGGGCGACCGGCCACACUGGGACUGAGACACGGCCCAGACUCCUACGGGAGGCAGCAGUGGGGAAUCUUGCGCAAUGGGCGAAAGCCUGACGCAGCGACGCCGCGUGGGGAAGAAGGCCUCGGUU